UCGAACGAGAAAGCCCGCAAGGGUGAGUAAAGUGGCGUACGGGUGAGUAACACGUGGGUAAUCUACCUUCUGGUGGGGAAUAACACUGGGAAACCGGUGCUAAUACCGCAUAAUCUCGAGAGAGGAAAGGUGAAAAUCGCCGGAAGAGGAGCCCGCGGCUGAUUAGCUAGUUGGUAGGGUAACGGCCUACCAAGGCAAUGAUCAGUAGCCGGCCUGAGAGGGCACACGGCCACACUGGCACUGAAACACGGGCCAGACUCCUACGGGAGGCAGCAGUGGGGAAUCUUGCACAAUGGGGGAAACCCUGAUGCAGCGACGCCGCGUGAGCGAUGAAGCCCUUCGGGGUGUAAAGCUCUUUCGGCAGGAACGAUAAUGACGGUACCUGAAGAAGAAGCUGCGGCUAACUACGUGCCAGCAGCCGCGGUAAUACGUAGGCAGCAAGCGUUGUUCGGAGUUACUGGGCGUAAAGAGUGCGUAGGCGGUGCUCUAAGUUUGGUGUGAAAUCUCCCGGCUCAACUGGGAGGGUGCGCCGAAAACUGGAGUGCUUGAGUAUGGGAGAGGUAAGCGGAAUUCCUGGUGUAGCGGUGAAAUGCGUAGAUAUCAGGAGGAACACCUGUGGUGUAGACAGCUUACUGGACCAUCACUGACGCUGAGGCACGAAAGCGUGGGUAGCAAACAGGAUUAGAUACCCUGGUAGUCCACGCCCUAAACGAUGCAUACUUGGUGUGAGCCAUUCAUUUGGUUCGUGCCGGAGCUAACGCGUUAAGUAUGCCGCCUGGGGAGUACGGUCGCA
This 793-nucleotide ribosomal RNA is filed under the name uncultured bacterium. RNAcentral's name for it is "bacterial SSU rRNA". It matches the Rfam family "Bacterial small subunit ribosomal RNA", at positions 62 to 890 of the family's 1533-position model. The record is from RNAcentral.